Molecule: ribosomal RNA, 419 nt
Filed under: uncultured bacterium
Lineage: Bacteria
Description: bacterial SSU rRNA
Rfam family: Bacterial small subunit ribosomal RNA
Source: RNAcentral
GAAUAUUGGGCAAUGGACGAGAGUCUGAGCCAGCCAUGCCGCGUGCAGGAAGACGGCGUUCUGCGUUGUAAACUGCUUUUAUCUGGGAAGAAAAGGCCCGUGCGCGGGACAUUGCCGGUACCAGAUGAAUAAGCACCGGCUAACUCCGUGCCAGCAGCCGCGGUAAUACGGAGGGUGCAAGCGUUGUCCGGAUUUAUUGGGUUUAAAGGGUGCGUAGGCGGCUGUUUAAGUCAGUGGUGAAAGACAUCGGCUCAACCGAUGCAGUGCCAUUGAUACUGGGCAGCUUGAGUGUUGGAGGGGUACAUGGAAUUGAUGGUGUAGCGGUGAAAUGCAUAGAUACCAUCAGGAACACCGAUAGCGAAGGCAUUGUACUGGCCAACAACUGACGCUGAGGCACGAAAGCAUGGGGAGCGAACAGG